GGGCUAGAUGGAGAGUUAGCGGUGCUCUGUAACCCACAAUCCGCUACAGUGGGGUUGAAUGCUUAUAGCGGUUUAAAUUUUUUAAAUAUGUGCAUAUAUAUUUCGUGAUGAAAUCAAGGUCUUAUGCAAUCAAAAUCCCUGAAUCAUGUCAGGACCUGACGGUAGCAUCAUUAAGGGGACACUUUGAUGUGCCAUGAGGAAGCUUUGGUGGAGCGAGAU
RNAcentral lists this signal recognition particle RNA (219 nucleotides) under human gut metagenome. Its description in RNAcentral is "Bacterial large signal recognition particle RNA". It matches the Rfam family "Bacterial large signal recognition particle RNA", at positions 3 to 218 of the family's 256-position model. From Rfam's summary of the family: The signal recognition particle (SRP) is a universally conserved ribonucleoprotein involved in the co-translational targeting of proteins to membranes. RNAcentral also lists the same sequence under 1 other name. The record is from RNAcentral.